UACGAAGGGUGCUAGCGUUGUUCGGAAUUACUGGGCGUAAAGGGCGCGUAGGCGGUUUAACAAGUUGGGUGUGAAAGCCCAGGGCUCAACCCUGGAACGGCACCCAAGACUGUUUUACUUGAAUUCGGUAGAGGAUGGUAGAAUUCCCAGUGUAGAGGUGAAAUUCGUAGAGAUUGGGAAGAAUACCCGUGGCGAAGGCGGCCAUCUGGACCGACAUUGACGCUGAGGCGCGAAAGCGUGGGGAGCAAACAGG
Molecule: ribosomal RNA, 253 nt
Filed under: uncultured bacterium
Lineage: Bacteria
Description: partial 16S ribosomal RNA
Rfam family: Bacterial small subunit ribosomal RNA
Source: RNAcentral